RNAcentral lists this ribosomal RNA (400 nucleotides) under uncultured bacterium. Its description in RNAcentral is "bacterial SSU rRNA". It matches the Rfam family "Bacterial small subunit ribosomal RNA", at positions 28 to 430 of the family's 1533-position model. The record is from RNAcentral.
GACGAACGCUGGCGGCGUGGAUUAGGCAUGCAAGUCGAGCGAUAUCUACCUUCGGGUAGUGAAAGCGGCGAACGGGUGAGUAACACGUGAACAACCUGCCCUCACAUUCCGGAUAAUAGACCGAAAGGUCUUGUAAUACGGGCGAGGAUUUUCUUUAGGCAUCUUUAGAAAAGGGAAGGCGCAAGCCGUGCGAGGAGGGGUUCGCGGAUUAUCAGAUAGUUGGUGGGGUAACGGCCUACCAAGUCACGACGAUUAGCUGGUCUGAGAGGAUGGUCAGCCACACUGGGACUGAGACACUGCCCAGACUCCUACGGGAGGCUGCAGUCGAGAAUCUUGCACAAUGUACGAAAGUAUGAUGCAGCGACGCCGCGUGAAGGAUGAAGGCCCUUGGGUCGUAAAC